UACUAAAAUGCGAAAUCGGUGGGUGCGAAACGUCAACAGAACGUCAACAGACGACGCCAUUAACAUACUUGCGUCACAAAAAUCUACUCGUCAAGAUAAAAACACCUUGCCUUCGAGUUAGUUUAUCCUAGUUUCUGUUUUGUAUAUAAUUCGUUAAAUUAAAAGGAUAUUACAGUUUUGUGUAUUUACCUAUUGUAUUCAUGAUUUUGAUUUGUGAUUCACGUUAUUUGCCAUUCAAUCACCGCAAUACUUCUUAAACUUGAUAAUUAAAGUCAUGGGAGAUGUCCACUUCAUGAAACUUGCUUUGUCGUUUUGCUGAAGUAAGCUGUCUUUCUGCAAAGAAAUAAAUGAGAGUAAAGAAAAAACUUCCCAAUGUGAGGUGACAUGAUGUUUCACCUGAUACAUUGUAACCUACAUUCUCUGAGGUAAUACAUCUACUGUUUCUGAGAAAACCUUGGUGGAAUUCUGAGAGUGGUAAUAGUUUCAUAGCUCAUGCUGCCCAAGUAAUAGUGUGGAGCAGGCGUAUCUGUGCUUUACUUUUGCUACAAGCGCUAGAAGAUUGGCAUCACAAAUCAAAUCUUUGUAUUUUCAAUCUACAAUUCAGGUGGAUACAAUAUGUGUGCAUGUGCGCAUGGAAAGAACGCUCGUGUCGAUGACUUUGUCAACGGGGGAAAAAUGUUAAGCUUAAUUUGCUCGAUAAUAGAAUUUGUUUUAAUCUUUUCUUCUUUUAUUAUCAUUAGGUGGUGUAGGCUGAUUUAUUUCAUACCUCGGUUGAAUCACUCAUCAGCCCGUCCCAAGACGCAUAGCUGACUUUUGACUUCAAUUUUUCAUAAUUUAAACCGAAAUAAAGUAGCGGCUGAAGAAAUGAAAUUUAAUUGCUCCCCCCUUUCAAUGUCUUAAAUAAAAUAAUCCCACAGCGCCCAGCGGGGUACAUUAACACAUUGUUACGUCGUCGACGUUCUCUAUGUCAUUCGAUCAAUCUGUUUCUCUUAGCCGGAAUUUCUCUCAACAGUUGUUCGCCGAGGAAAAUCGGCUGACCAAGUCAAAUGGAAAAAACUAUCAGCCGAUAGCAGCCCGGCGUCUAAAUAUAUAUAGCUAUUCGAUUGAAAUUUAUUGAAAAUGCCACCCAGCUAAAACGUGCUGAAAGCUUCUUCCGCCUCUAUUCCACAAAGACUUAAUUGGAGAUUUCUCAUUCAAGAGCUCAUCCGAGGGACCCCCGUGCUCUUGAAGAAACAAGAGUAAUCGAGUCGACUAAAUAAAUUUAAUUUGAUAAGACUGUUUUCCCAUGAAAUACAAACAUUUUAUUUUCAAAA
Molecule: long non-coding RNA, 1313 nt
Filed under: Daphnia pulex (common water flea)
Lineage: Eukaryota; Metazoa; Arthropoda; Branchiopoda; Diplostraca; Daphniidae
Description: uncharacterized LOC124193728, transcript variant X2
Source: RNAcentral